Molecule: unclassified non-coding RNA, 230 nt
Filed under: uncultured Actinomycetes bacterium
Lineage: Bacteria; Bacillati; Actinomycetota; Actinomycetes
Description: uncultured actinobacterium contains 16S-23S intergenic spacer region
Source: RNAcentral
UCCCCGUUAUCCGGGGCGGUUUCACCCUGCAUGUCAAGCCCAGGUAAGGUUCUUCGCGUCGCAUCGAAUUAAGCCGCAUGCUCCGCCGCUUGUGCGGGCCCCCGUCAAUUCCUUUGAGUUUUAGCCUUGCGGCCGUACUCCCCAGGCGGGGUGCUUAAUGCGUUAGCUUCGGCACGGAUGGGGUCGAUGUCCACCCACACCUAGCACCCAACGUUUACGGCUAGGACUAC